This 167-nucleotide ribosomal RNA is filed under the name Sebacina sp. RNAcentral describes it as "partial large subunit ribosomal RNA". It matches the Rfam family "Eukaryotic large subunit ribosomal RNA", at positions 99 to 261 of the family's 3401-position model. Lineage: Eukaryota; Fungi; Basidiomycota; Agaricomycetes; Sebacinales; Sebacinaceae. The record is from RNAcentral.
AGGGAAAAGCUCAAAUUUUGAAUCUGGUGUCUUUGACUCCCGAGUUGUAAUCUAGAGAAGUGUUUUCCGCGUUGGACCGUGCAAAAGUUCCCUGGAACGGGGUGUCAUAGAGGGUGAGAAUCCCGUAUAUGGCACGGACUACCAUUGCUAUGUGAUACACUCUCAAC